GCCGGUUUAGCUCAGUGGUAGAGCGUCAGUCUUGUAAAUUGAAGGUCGGCAGUUCGAUCCUGCCAUCCGGCU
Non-coding RNA from Perkinsus chesapeaki, 72 nucleotides. The record is from the annotation of a GenBank genome assembly. NCBI's taxonomy places the organism in Eukaryota, Perkinsozoa, Perkinsida, Perkinsidae.